Molecule: ribosomal RNA, 497 nt
Filed under: uncultured bacterium
Lineage: Bacteria
Description: partial 16S ribosomal RNA
Rfam family: Bacterial small subunit ribosomal RNA
Source: RNAcentral
GACGAACGCUGGCGGCGUGCCUAAUACAUGCAAGUCGAGCGAACGGACGGGAAGUUUCCUUCUUUGAUGUUAGCGGCGGACGGGUGUGUAACACGUGGAUCAUCUCCGUAUACGACUGGGAUAACUUCGGGACACCGUCGCUAAUACCGGAUCAUAUUUUGACCCGUAUGAUUCACUAGUAAAAUACGGUUUCGUCGUUACCAAUUGAAGCUUCCGCGCUGCAUUAGGUAGUUGGUAAGGUAACGGCUUACCACGGCAACGAAGCAUCGACGACCGGGGAGGGGGUUCGCCCACACUGGAACUGAGACACGGCCCGGACUCCUACGGGAGGCAGCGGAGGGGAACCUUGCGAAAUGGGCGAAAGCUGAACGGAGCAAGGCGGCGGGGGUGAGGAAGUUCUUCGGAUCGUAAAACCCUGUUAUUGGGGAAGAACAGAGGUGGAAUGAACUGUGCACAUCGUGACGGUACCUAAUCAGAAAGCCACGGCUAACUACGUG